Non-coding RNA from Jatropha curcas, 1109 nucleotides. The record is from RefSeq and is a predicted model, not a curated record. Lineage: Eukaryota; Viridiplantae; Streptophyta; Magnoliopsida; Malpighiales; Euphorbiaceae.
UAAAGCACCGUGCAAAACAGUUGAAUCAUAUUCUGCUUGUGCCUCUUCCCACCGAAAAUGGGUGUUGAAUUUCUGUCUUAUUUGACCUAUAGAUCCUAAGGGCACGAUGUUGUCGAGAAUAUUAUAAAUAAAUAGGAUGAGAUGAUUACGCUGAUGGUAUUGAUAGAACUGGCGUUGGUUGGGCUGUUACUGUUCGGCUUAACAAUCCCUACUGGUUCCCAUUUGAUGUAUUUGGCUGAGUUUCAUUUGAGUUUGAAUCCGCUCAGCCGAAAAAUGAAAAGUCCCUUUGUUAUAAUUUGACCUCUUAAGGAUCUACUCAGUGCGAAAUUGUAAAUUUGAUCGGUGUUCUACCCACAACUGAAUGUCUGAAAUAGCUUGGGUUCAGCAUUGUAGUAUAUCCACCAGAUUGUCGACUGAGUUUGACAUCUUUUGAAUUUCUUGUCGAAGCUCCUAUUACAUUUGUUGAUAAUCCAGAACGGAGAGUGUCAUAAUUAUUGCAAUCUAGUUGACCAUACCACUGAAUAGAGUUUCGUUCUCCUUCAUCAUCUAACCGUUAAUUUAUGCUUUCGUUAAUUUUACUGAGGAGUUGAUGUGGUGAAUUGGAUUAAUUAUUUUAAGAUUAAUGAUUGAUUUCUAUGCCAAUAGUUUGGGAGUGUCGCUGUUGGCCAUUAACGUUUAUGCAUUCAUUCUAGUGAAGGUAAGUUUCUGUACUUCUGUUAUUGUUAAUAUUAAUGAACAACGCAAAAACUUAUUGGUUGGUAAAAUUAAAUGGUUGACAUGUUCAUUUCAAUUUUGGCUGCAAUUGCUUAUCAUGGUUGCCUAUCAGUUUUAAUAGAACAUUUAACUUGUCUACAUGCAGCUCAUAAAAGAAACACGCACAGACACAUUGAAAUUUAUUCUUGUAAGGGCCCUGUUUUGGUGCAUGCACUCUCACGCGCUCAUAUGUAUGUGUCUAUAUAUAUAAAUGAUUUGGUUUAUGUUCUUGUAGACCUCUUUGGUAUAAAUGAUUCCACAAAAUGUUCUGGAAUUCAUUUUGAAUUUCAUGUUUGAGGGAAAAAAAAUGUUCAUUUCACUCCUAUGAAUUCAGUUUUAUGGAAAUCAACAUAAAC